This 840-nucleotide ribosomal RNA is filed under the name uncultured Staphylococcus sp. RNAcentral describes it as "bacterial SSU rRNA". It matches the Rfam family "Bacterial small subunit ribosomal RNA", at positions 70 to 896 of the family's 1533-position model. The record is from RNAcentral. Lineage: Bacteria; Bacillati; Bacillota; Bacilli; Caryophanales; Staphylococcaceae.
GACGAGGAGCUUGCUCCUCUGACGUUAGCGGCGGACGGGUGAGUAACACGUGGAUAACCUACCUAUAAGACUGGGAUAACUUCGGGAAACCGGAGCUAAUACCGGAUAAUAUAUUGAACCGCAUGGUUCAAUAGUGAAAGACGGUUUUGCUGUCACUUAUAGAUGGAUCCGCGCCGCAUUAGCUAGUUGGUAAGGUAACGGCUUACCAAGGCGACGAUGCGUAGCCGACCUGAGAGGGUGAUCGGCCACACUGGAACUGAGACACGGUCCAGACUCCUACGGGAGGCAGCAGUAGGGAAUCUUCCGCAAUGGGCGAAAGCCUGACGGAGCAACGCCGCGUGAGUGAUGAAGGUCUUCGGAUCGUAAAACUCUGUUAUUAGGGAAGAACAAAUGUGUAAGUAACUAUGCACGUCUUGACGGUACCUAAUCAGAAAGCCACGGCUAACUACGUGCCAGCAGCCGCGGUAAUACGUAGGUGGCAAGCGUUAUCCGGAAUUAUUGGGCGUAAAGCGCGCGUAGGCGGUUUUUUAAGUCUGAUGUGAAAGCCCACGGCUCAACCGUGGAGGGUCAUUGGAAACUGGAAAACUUGAGUGCAGAAGAGGAAAGUGGAAUUCCAUGUGUAGCGGUGAAAUGCGCAGAGAUAUGGAGGAACACCAGUGGCGAAGGCGACUUUCUGGUCUGUAACUGACGCUGAUGUGCGAAAGCGUGGGGAUCAAACAGGAUUAGAUACCUGGUAGCCCACGCCGUAAACGAUGAGUGCUAAGUGUUAGGGGGUUUCCGCCCCUUAGUGCUGCAGCUAACGCAUUAAGCACUCCGCCUGGGAAGUACGACCGCAAGUUG